RNAcentral lists this ribosomal RNA (497 nucleotides) under uncultured bacterium. RNAcentral's name for it is "partial 16S ribosomal RNA". It matches the Rfam family "Bacterial small subunit ribosomal RNA", at positions 28 to 507 of the family's 1533-position model. The record is from RNAcentral.
GAUGAACGCUGGCGGCGUGCCUAAUACAUGCAAGUCGAGCGAACAGACGAGGAGCUUGCUCCUCUGACGUUAGCGGCGGACGGGUGAGUAACACGUGGAUAACCUACCUAUAAGACUGGGAUAACUUCGGGAAACCGGAGCUAAUACCGGAUAAUAUAUUGAACCGCAUGGUUCAAUAGUGAAAGACGGUUUUGCUGUCACUUAUAGAUGGAUCCGCGCCGCAUUAGCUAGUUGGUAAGGUAAAGGCUUACCAAGGCAACGAUGCGUAGCCGACCUGAGAGGGUGAUCGGCCACACUGGAACUGAGACACGGUCCAGACUCCUACGGGAGGCAGCAGUAGGGAAUCUUACGCAAUGGGCGAAAGCUUGACGGAGCAACGCCGCGUGAGUGAUGAAGGUCUUCGGAUCGUAAAACUCUGUUAUUAGGGAAGAACAAAUGUGUAAGUAACUAUGCACGUCUUGACGGUACCUAAUCAGAAAGCCACGGCUAACUACGUG